This 497-nucleotide ribosomal RNA is filed under the name uncultured bacterium. Its description in RNAcentral is "partial 16S ribosomal RNA". It matches the Rfam family "Bacterial small subunit ribosomal RNA", at positions 28 to 507 of the family's 1533-position model. The record is from RNAcentral.
GAUGAACGCUGGCGGCGUGCCUAAUACAUGCAAGUCGAGCGAACGGACGAGAAGCUUGCUUCUCUGAUGUUAGCGGCGGACGGGUGAGUAACACGUGGAUAACCUACCUAUAAGACUGGGAUAACUUCGGGAAACCGGAGCUAAUACCGGCUAAUCUUUUGAACCGCAUGGUUCAAAAGUGACAGACGGUCUUGCUGUCACUUAUAGAUGGAUCCGCGCUGCAUUAGCUAGUUGGUAAGGUAACGGCUUACCAAGGCAACGAUGCAUAGCCGACCUGAGAGGGUGAUCGGCCACACUGGAACUGAGACACGGUCCAGACUCCUACGGGAGGCAGCAGUAGGGAAUCUUCCGCAAUGGGCGAAAGCCUGACGGAGCAACGCCGCGUGAGUGAUGAAGGUCUUCGGAUCGUAAAACUCUGUUAUUAGGGAAGAACAUAUUUGUAAGUAACUGUGCACACCUUGACGUUACCUAAUCAGAAAGCCACGGCUAACUACGUG